RNAcentral lists this long non-coding RNA (1691 nucleotides) under Mus musculus (house mouse). RNAcentral describes it as "long non-coding RNA chr5:44105848-44107539". The record is from RNAcentral. Lineage: Eukaryota; Metazoa; Chordata; Mammalia; Rodentia; Muridae.
GAAUCGGCUACACGGUAGGCAUAAAGCCAUCACUCGAUUCAAAAGCUGUUAACUGUCACAAUCAGCUCAAGGGGCAGCCAGGAACUCAACCUGUGAUGAGCAAUGGGUUUCCCCUUCCUUUAAAGACUUCCCAGUUUGUGUUUUUCCUCAUCAGCUGAAAGUUGACAAGCUUUUCAUCUAAAAAAAAAAAAAAAUUAAAAAACAAACAAACAUCCCUUCAGAUUCCCAGUGACCCAGACAAAUGUCAUUCUUCAAGUCACUCUUUGAACUAGUCCAGUUACAGCCUCUCGGUGGCUACCUCACUGGUCCAUGAGCUGAGCAAAUGCUUUCACAUUCACUGUGUAUUUGCACAGAAGUCCUGGUUUUUUAAGUCCUUGCAAAUUAGAAUUUAGAAGCCCUAAUGGGACUUAUUAUCCAGGGGAGACAAAUAGCAAAGCUUUACAUAUUAUACCACUGAUUUUUUUUAAAUUAAAAUUAGACCAUGUGCAAGAAAAUUGAACCCCACGGUUACUGCUAAACAAACUUUAAAGAGCUUCUAACACAGACCUGGGAUUAGAGCAGCUGUCUCUUUGCUGCCACAUAAUUGCUGCAUACUCACACCAGAGGUGCGGGUCAUGCAUCCUUCUAAACCUCUCCCAUGACAACCCCAUUCAGAACAGUCUUUAGCUCAAUGUCCCAAGCAGCUGCUGGAAAGAAAGGGAAACAGCAGAAGAGCUGGGUGCCAAUGAACUCCCUUUGACCACUGAGAACACAAAGUGAUUUCUCGUUGGUUUGUUUGUUUGUUUUUUAAUUAACAAGCAUGAAGAAUGUUUUCUGCUUUGUUCUGCUUUGUAUGAGGAGCUACAGACUAAACCCAGGACCUUGUCGUGUUAGGCCACGUUCCCAGCACAAGCAUGAGGUGUGUGUUGGUUGGAUUUUUGUCAACUUGACACAAGUUAGAGUCAUCUAAGGAGAAGGUACUUCUGUUGAGAAACGGAACCCAUUAGAUUGGCCUGCUGGCAAGCCUGUGGUGCUUUUUACUUGAUUGGUGAUUGAUGUGAAAGGGCCUAGCCCACUGUGGGCGGUGUCACCCUUAGGCAGAUGGUCCUGAGAUACAUAAGAAAGCUAAACGAGCAAGUCAGGGUGAGCAAGCCAAUAGGCAACACUCCUCCAUAGCUUUUGCUUCAAUUCCUGUCUCUGCCUUGAAUCCUUGCUUGACUUCACACAGUGAUGACCUACUACCUGGAUGUCUAAGAGGACAUAAAACCCUUUUUCUCCCUUAGUUGCUUUUGGUCAUGAUGUUUAUCAGAGCAACAGAACACGCAAACUAAUUUCUUAAAGCAAACUGGUUCUUAAAGACUAGUAUCCAUUCUCAGCAGGUGAAUAGACUGGCCUUUACCAUGAAGACCAGAGAGCAUCAAAACCAGUUUGCUAGAGGGAGAUAUUUGUAGAAGUCAUGCCUAGAAAUGGUUACAAUGGGUAGAUGGUCUAAUAUUCUUCAAUGACAGGGAUGAAAGAGAGAAAAUUCUAAAGUUGUUUACAUUAUGGUUGAGGGAAAAUACAAGAUGAGGAAAAAAACAGUCUAGAUUCAUUGUGUUUUGAUAUUUUGUUUGUUUGUUUUUUAACCUCAGUAUCUUAGUUCUGAAGGUUGGAAACUUCCUCAUUCUAGGAGAGAGCUGUUCUGUACAUGUAGAAAUAUUUAAUGAUAUCCC